This is a long non-coding RNA of Clupea harengus (Atlantic herring), 435 nucleotides long. The record is from Ensembl. Lineage: Eukaryota; Metazoa; Chordata; Actinopteri; Clupeiformes; Clupeidae.
UCAUGUGUUCAUGUGUUCAGCAGCUUCAUGUGUUCAUCAGCUUCAUGUGUUCAUCACCUUCAUAUGUUCAGCAGCUCCGCCCUGCCUCAGCGUCUUCAUGUGUUCAUCACCUUCAUGUGUUCAUCACCUUCAUGCGUUCAUCAUCUUCAUGUGUUCAGCACCUUCAUGUGUUCAUGUGUUCAGCAUCUUCAUGUGUUCAGCAGCUUCCUGUGUUCAUGUGUUCAUCAGCUUCCUGUGUUCAUGUGUUCAGCAGCUUCCUGUGUUCAUGUGUUCAUCAGCUUCAUGUGUUCAUGUGUUCUUCACCUUCAUGUGUUCAGCAUCUUCAUGUGUUCAUCAUCUUCAUGUGUUCAUGUGUUCAGCAUCUUCAUGUGUUGAGCACCUUCAUGUGUUCAUGUGUUCAGCAUCUUCAUGUGUUCAUCAUCUUCAUGUGUUCAU